GACGAACGCUGGCGGCGUGCCUAAUACAUGCAAGUUGAGCGCUGAAGGUUGGUACUUGUACCAACUGGAUGAGCAGCGAACGGGUGAGUAACGCGUGGGGAAUCUGCCUUUGAGCGGGGGACAACAUUUGGAAACGAAUGCUAAUACCGCAUAAAAACUUUAAACACAAGUUUUAAGUUUGAAAGAUGCAAUUGCAUCACUCAAAGAUGAUCCCGCGUUGUAUUAGCGAGUUGGUGAGGUAAAGGCUCACCAAGGCGAUGAUACAUAGCCGACCUGAGAGGGUGAUCGGCCACAUUGGGACUGAGACACGGCCCAAACUCCUACGGGAGGCAGCAGUAGGGAAUCUUCGGCAAUGGACGAAAGUCUGACCGAGCAACGCCGCGUGAGUGAAGAAGGUUUUCGGAUCGUAAAACUCUGUUGGUAGAGAAGAACGUUGGUGAGAGUGGAAAGCUCAUCAAGUGACGGUAACUACCCAGAAAGGGACGGCUAACUACGUG
This 497-nucleotide ribosomal RNA is filed under the name uncultured bacterium. RNAcentral's name for it is "partial 16S ribosomal RNA". It matches the Rfam family "Bacterial small subunit ribosomal RNA", at positions 28 to 507 of the family's 1533-position model. The record is from RNAcentral.